Pan troglodytes (chimpanzee) is the source of this 239-nucleotide long non-coding RNA. RefSeq lists it as uncharacterized. Lineage: Eukaryota; Metazoa; Chordata; Mammalia; Primates; Hominidae. The record is from RefSeq and is a predicted model, not a curated record. The transcript has 3 exons.
UCCUCAUCCACAGCCAGCCACGCUGCAGAGCCACCCAGCCAGAGACGCCUACUCUGGUCUCCAGCUAGGAUGUUGAGGACCUGUUUCGAAUGUCUUGGAAGAAGUCCUGGAAUCCUCCCAGCCCCCAGGUUCCGGGAUACAUGUGCAGAAUGUGCAGAGUUUCACUCUGGCUCCUAGGCUGGAAAGCAGUGGCACCAUCUCAGCUCUCUGCAACCGCCACUUCCCAGGUUCAAGCGAUU